GAUGAACGCUGGCGGCGUGCCUAAUACAUGCAAGUCGAGCGAACAGACGAGGAGCUUGCUCCUCUGACGUUAGCGGCGGACGGGUGAGUAACACGUGGAUAACCUACCUAUAAGACUGGGAUAACUUCGGGAAACCGGAGCUAAUACCGGAUAAUAUAUUGAACCGCAUGGUUCAAUAGUGAAAGACGGUUUUGCUGUCACUUAUAGAUGGAUCCGCGCCGCAUUAGCUAGUGGUAAGGUAACGGCUUACCAAGGCAACGAUGCGUAGCCGACCUGAGAGGGUGAUCGGCCACACUGGAACUGAGACACGGUCCAGACUCCUACGGGAGGCAGCAGUAGGGAAUCUUCCGCAAUGGGCGAAAGCCUGACGGAGCAACGCCGCGUGAGUGAUGAAGGUCUUCGGAUCGUAAAACUCUGUUAUUAGGGAAGAACAAAUGUGUAAGUAACUAUGCACGUCUUGACGGUACCUAAUCAGAAAGCCACGGCUAACUACGUG
Molecule: ribosomal RNA, 496 nt
Filed under: uncultured bacterium
Lineage: Bacteria
Description: partial 16S ribosomal RNA
Rfam family: Bacterial small subunit ribosomal RNA
Source: RNAcentral